This is a long non-coding RNA of Ornithodoros turicata, 3555 nucleotides long. RefSeq lists it as uncharacterized. The transcript is spliced from 2 exons. The record is from RefSeq and is a predicted model, not a curated record. Lineage: Eukaryota; Metazoa; Arthropoda; Arachnida; Ixodida; Argasidae.
CACAGCGGUCUGUUUGCUUGAGGAUGAGAUUUGUGGUCUGUGGUAGCGGUGAAGCAACUUUGUAUUGUAAAAUUGUAAAAUGGGCCGCUCUGUUACUACAGAUGCAACAAGUGCCAGUCCACUUUUUUUCAGCUGCACCCUCUCAGUUCAGGCAGCAGCAGUACCAGGUGUAUGUACAUAACUUCCAAGACACACGAGUGCAAUUCUGAAGCUGAUUUUCAGCCAUGGAGAGAAGAAAUGCAGGAUGCAGCCAAGAGUCAUUUUACUAAAGGCACAGGGGUAAAACGAUUGAAAGAUGGAGGUUUAAAGUGUUAUUAUAUUUGUAACUGAUUGGAUGCUUUUAUAGAGAGGACACAUCAAAGGAAAAGGUCCAUCAAAUCACAAUGUUCCGUCAGGCGUGGGGACACCUGCCUUGCUGAUAUGUCUGCAAUGUUCCAAACUGGCAAGGUCUCGUUUGUCUUCCAAGCUUCCUAUUAUGCACAUAAUUUUGGGGCUGUCCUACACCCCACUUACAAAAACAGAGGAAGAUGUAAUAGAGGCAGCCCGUGCAGGGGGGGUAUAUGUUUAUUCACACAAAAGGAGAUGUCAGCCAGGCAAGUGCCAGCUUGCUACUCCUUAAAAAAAGAAAAAAAACAGGUACGUGAGAAGCCGCGAUGGCAACGAUGUGCUGCGGGCGUACAGGCACUUGUAAAACACUAUAUUGUACUGAAAUGUCCUUUUUUACCUACCAGAAACUAUUUGUUUAUGUUAGGGAAACUACGUGACGGCAUUGCACUCAGCGUACUAUGCAGCUCAGUAUUCGGGGUGUGCUGGAUGGCACGUUUCAAAGGAUCCAAUUCACCUCACUACAAGGCAGUACCUGUACAUCACCAUGAGGGACUAUAAUAUAUGUCACAGUGAGAGGAAACACGACGACAACCAAACCAGUGUUGCCUUGUUGGUCAGUUCUAUCAGAGCCCAAACAAACAGUCCAGUGCUUUCCCUCACACACGAAGGCAAGAAGGAUGAUCCUACUGUCUUUCAACGAGGAAAUAAUGACUUGUUGCAAGAUCAGGAUUUCUUGCUAGUUCUCAUGACAGGCAUGCAAAAACAGCUGUUAAGGCAUUUGGGCACCAACAAAAGUGUGAUGAACACAGGAGGAGCAGGAAAGCUAGCUGGUGUUGACUUGAUGUUAAUGCCGAAGUGUACACUUUCUUUUUACCCGUCUCUCCUUCACUUCGUGUAUUAAAGCUUCUUUGCUGGUUCGUGUGUUUGUGUUCAUCUCGUCCCGUGUUCGUCCUGUGCUUUCCCUCAAACUCAAGGCAAUGUUAACAUCAAAAGAAAAGUGUGCAUAGAUUCUACACAUAGCACCACAGAUGGGUCAUUCUAUGUGAUAGUUGUGUACUGCCACUUCAUACAUUUUGGGUAAUGGUUCAGGUGAAACACUUUACAGCCAUGCAUGCUCUCCUGCAUUGACUUUUCAACUGAAGACAAUAUGCCCCAUUUUUAGCUUGGUGUGUGAUAUAUUACAGCAGGUAAAUACAUUUAAGUGUGGUGAUAUACAUACACAUAACACACAUAAUUGGCAAUUUGUAUAUCCUAUAAAGUGCUCUGACCUGAGAAAUCUUGUAGAAAAAAUUGUGUUAAUAUUCUGCCAAUAAGAAGUGGAAUAAAGUUUCCACUCACUGCACUAGGCAGUUUGUUUUAUUCCGUGUGUUUAUAUCUCUCCAGUACUGAGUACUCUCUUGCAAUAUAACGACUGAUGAUAACGACUGCCCCUGACUGAUGGUAUUGUUUUCUUCAGCUGCAACAGAUGCUUUUUACCAUGAAAAUACUAACAUCAGUUGGCAUUGCAUAAAACCUUGGUGAGCUCAAAGCCGCUGUGUGUAUUCUUGUGAAUGAUUUAUCUAAAGAAAUGUACACCCUUCCAACAUCCAUCAGCAAACUCUUCAUGACUAUAUAUAACGCAUAAUUAUUUCAUUACAUUAAAGGAAAAAUAUAUUGGCAUCACACCAGCUCAAUUGCCGUCUUUCGUUAUCAUCAAAAAUGUGGUGGCCGGGGUACAUGACUCUCAUCAACAUUUUGAUAAUGUAAUUCGCAUACAAUGCUCAAUCAUUUUAAAAUUCUUCAUGCACAUCAUUACGCCUUGUAUAUUCAAGUUGGCUUCUACUUUGUCUCAUGCUAGUGUUGGCUAUCCGUGCGGUAGCCAGAAAAUAUUAUGGGGGGUUCUAUGGGGACCUCCCAGAUGCACUAGUAAAGGUACGAUCUUGGCUAUGCAGUGCUAAACCUGCUGUGAUACUGCGGAACAAAAAUGCCAAACAACUCCGCUUUGUCUCAACAAAGAUGCAAGGAGUUAAAACGGGUGCAGCUAUGUGAAAGCAGCUAUGUGUUCGAAGAGCUACUGGGAAUUCAGAAGAUCAUACUAUGUGCGUGAAAAUAACUAGCACAAUCACAUAUGUUUGUAUGUUCAUGCGUCUUGCCUCAGCAAAUGAGUUCCAAUGUAUGCUUGAUUGCAUUUAUUUAGCAUUUGUUACAAGAGAGCAAAAGUCCUCAAGAUAUUGCAAAUCUAUAUUGUAAAUCUACUCAGUAUUGGCCAGUUAGAUCACACAACUUGGUUGAUUCAUUUUAUCAAGCUUUGUUUCACACCUCAAGGAAACGUAGCUCUUCGGUAACCUCAGUGAGCCAAACACGCAGUCCAGGUCCAGUUUUGGAUAUUUUUACUGGUCUCGUUAGCAAUACAUCGUUCCAAAAUACCACAAAUUUCAGCUGGACACUAUAUCAAUGAGCCUGUUGCCUUGCACCUCAUCGGAGCAGCCCCCUGCUGGCUAGCAGGAAGAUAUCGAAUAAGAAACAGGUGACUGGCUGUUCUGUCCACCUCUCAGUGUGUGUGGCCACUCCUGUUUGCUGCUAGAGUGUCACUCCCAUGAAGAAAUGCAACACCCUGGUCCUCCAUAAACUUUUCUCCCAAUCUGUUCGAAUAUUGAUGCACAGAUGGUGUGAAGAAAGCCAUAGUAGCAGGGCAGUUUUCAACCAGAUUCCAAGAGUGUGCCAAGCAGCAGGAAAUACACCCAGCCAGAGGAUUUCUGUUGAAUUCAUGUUUAAGGACCUUCACAUCUACAUCAUUUACUCAUGAAUGCAACACUGUCAUUUGACAGCACAUGACAGUCCAUUAAUGCUUUGAACAUGAAUUGAGCUUUACCCUCUGGUUGGGCAUGAAACAAUGAAUCUUUCAACAGCUCAUGACCCACAGUUUGAGAAACACUGGUGUACGCAUUCGUCCCAACAAUAAUCUGGCAUCCUUCAAAAACACCAUCAAACAGGACUUUUCUGCUGAUACCGUAGGGUGACAUGCAAUUACUUUUUGAUGGUUUGCAUUUCUCUUUGUUCAUUUGCUAUUUGUUUCUAAUACUUGUCAUGUGUUCUUGGUAUUUCUGUUCCCCUCAAAUUGUGUAGACAUUUGCACUGACUGUGUCUUGGACUGUUCAACAGGGCUUGCCCACUAUCAGUAUCAGUGUAUACUGUCAUGGAAUAACAAUAAAAACCUGAAAACUGAAAAAAAAAAAAAAAACAUCUGAA